This 23-nucleotide small nuclear RNA is filed under the name Arabidopsis thaliana (thale cress). RNAcentral describes it as "snRNA_12084". Lineage: Eukaryota; Viridiplantae; Streptophyta; Magnoliopsida; Brassicales; Brassicaceae. The record is from RNAcentral.
CAGAUUCUGUUUAUGGUUAUAAA